This 405-nucleotide long non-coding RNA is filed under the name Heterocephalus glaber (naked mole-rat). RNAcentral describes it as "lncRNA (ENSHGLG00100049428.1)". The record is from RNAcentral. Lineage: Eukaryota; Metazoa; Chordata; Mammalia; Rodentia; Bathyergidae.
GUCAGGCUGGGUUUCAGUUCACAGUUCAGAUUGCUGUGUCAUGGUGACAUGCAAACGUUUUAAAUUGCAUGUAAAUGUCUUUACUCUGGCAAGUGAUAGACAUUUGGACCUUGUGUUGCCAUCAAUGGGCUGAAAUGGGGUAUAACUGCAUCCACAGUCAGUCUGAUAUUCUUCCCAACACUUGGGGAUGGCUGUGUGCAGACACUGGGAGAGUAGAGGCCUGCUGGCUGCUUCAUCCAUGAUAUCACUGAUCCCAUCUGUGACUUCAGAUUGAAGAUCCCAGGAGGUACAGAAGAGUGGGAAAUGAAUCCCAUUGCACUUGAUGCCUUCUGUAGUGGUUUUCCAACGUAUGAGACUACCCCCAAGCCCAUGAAUAGAGCACACUGCAACCAUCAGCCAUAGGAG